RNAcentral lists this long non-coding RNA (292 nucleotides) under Prunus persica (peach). RNAcentral's name for it is "long non-coding RNA (PPER_LNC003152)". The record is from RNAcentral. Lineage: Eukaryota; Viridiplantae; Streptophyta; Magnoliopsida; Rosales; Rosaceae.
UACUUGUUUAGUUGCAUUUAUCACGUUGAUUAUUUGUAAACGUGAGCUGGUUUUUCUCAUUCUGUUAAGAUUGUAGAAGGCUAUUUAUGAGCCUAGAUUGUUCAAUAAGAGCAAUGUCAUUCCCAGAACUGUUGUGUACUCUUUUAUUUGUGUUUUGAUUCUUAACAUUCUUGGUGUUGAGAUCGUGCCUACUGCUAGUGGAUUAUUUCUUUCCCAACACAAAUACAUCAGGGACCUUUUAGCUAUAGCUGGUAUGGAUGGCGCUAAAGAGGUCAGCACCCCAAUGUCUACC